AGAUUGAACGCUGGCGGCAUGCCUUACACAUGCAAGUCGAGCGGCAGCGCGGGGGCAACCCUGGCGGCGAGCGGCGAACGGGUGAGUAAUGCAUCGGAACGUGUCCUUUUGUGGGGGAUAACCAGUCGAAAGACUGGCUGAUACCGCAUGAGCUCGAGAGAGGAAAGCAGGGGAUCCGCAAGGACCUUGCGCGAGAGGAGCGGCCGAUGCCCGAUUAGCUAGUUGGUGGGGUAACGGCCUACCAAGGCGACGAUCGGUAGCUGGUCUGAGAGGACGACCAGCCACACUGGGACUGAGACACGGCCCAGACUCCUACGGGAGGCAGCAGUGGGAAUUUUGGACAAGUGGGGGCAACCCGUGAUCCAGGCCAUCGCCGCGUGUGUGAAGAAGGCCUUCGGUGUAAAGCACGUUUCGGCCGGAACGAAAUCGUACGCGAUCUAAUAAGUCGCGU
Molecule: ribosomal RNA, 451 nt
Filed under: uncultured soil bacterium
Lineage: Bacteria
Description: bacterial SSU rRNA
Rfam family: Bacterial small subunit ribosomal RNA
Source: RNAcentral